UACAGAGGUCUCAAGCGUUGUUCGGAUUCAUUGGGCGUAAAGGGUGCGUAGGUGGCGCGGUAAGUCGGGUGUGAAAUUUCGGAGCUUAACUCCGAAACUGCAUUCGAUACUGCCGUGCUUGAGGACUGGAGAGGAGACUGGAAUUUACGGUGUAGCAGUGAAAUGCGUAGAGAUCGUAAGGAAGACCAGUGGCGGAGGCGGGUCUCUGGACAGUUCCUGACACUGAGGCACGAAGGCCAGGGGAGCAAACGGG
Molecule: ribosomal RNA, 253 nt
Filed under: uncultured bacterium
Lineage: Bacteria
Description: partial 16S ribosomal RNA
Rfam family: Bacterial small subunit ribosomal RNA
Source: RNAcentral